AAUAAAAAAAAAAAAGGGGGGAAUGAAAGACACCCCCCCCCCCCCCGUCCUUAACUAAUUAACUGCUCUUUUGUUGUGUCAGAGUACCCCUCCUCCCCUUACAAUGAAAAGACCCUUCCCCCAGGGUUGAAUUCAGUUUAACUGCUCUUUUGCCUUUCUGUAACCGCUUGGCUUUUAGGGCAUGACACUUGUCUCCUGUUUGAACAAGAUACCUUCUCCUAAUAGCCGAGGCAUGGUCACGUAGGCAAGGGGGCUGCAUGGUCACGUAGGUCACCUAGACAGUAUGCUUUUCUGCUGAGUAAUAAGGUCAAACUUCCCCUCUUUGUUUCCCCUUCCCGCCUUUCUCUUCGCGCGCGGGGGUCUUCCAAAGCCAAUCCGCUAACACCAAGUAUGCCUUUUU
Molecule: long non-coding RNA, 400 nt
Organism: Mustela erminea (ermine)
Lineage: Eukaryota; Metazoa; Chordata; Mammalia; Carnivora; Mustelidae
Exons: 3
Source: RefSeq, a predicted model, not a curated record